Molecule: long non-coding RNA, 991 nt
Filed under: Mus caroli (Ryukyu mouse)
Lineage: Eukaryota; Metazoa; Chordata; Mammalia; Rodentia; Muridae
Description: lncRNA (MGP_CAROLIEiJ_G0005304.1)
Source: RNAcentral
CUAGCUCCACGUGCUCUGGGGGAGAUGGGAAAAGAUCAUCUGUGGUUAGGCCUCCUUGAAACCAUUCCUUGGUCGCAGGAGCCUUUUUGCUCUAAGACUUGAAACUGUAGACGCUGCGGGCAGAGGCCCUGGUCGCUACAAAGGGCUCGCCAGCCCACCAAGGGAAGGAAGAGUGUGCCUGGCUUUGCUGUGGAUCCGAAGCUCAAACAUCCAGAGGUGGGAUCCAGGCCAACUUGCUUCAGAGCAGGCUGGACAGGACCGGGCCUGUAAGAAUUCUCUGGUGAACGCGCCAGUUUGUGGUAUCGAUGGCCUAAUCAUCCAUCUUUCCCAUCCCUAUCCCAGCACACCACUGGAGACUUCCACCCACCCUUUGAUUUUUGCCUAGCUGACGGACGAGUUCGGGGUCAUCUCCAAUUUCCCUUUCCAAAUUGUCUAGUCUUGACUUAUCCUGGUUUCUAAGUAGCGGGUACCCAACAAGGAUCCCAGGCAGGCCAAUUCCAUCCAGGUGGCCUCCCUUUCCCGCGUCAGCAGCAGGCACCUGAGACACCCCCACAGCCUGUGCGCUGCCAACUGUGAGCCGCCAUAGGGCAGAAAACUGCUUAUCGGACACAGAAUCUAGCUCCACUUGUCUCCAGUUACUAGUAUGUUCUGGGGGCAUUUGUAUUCUCUUGUCUGAAAAGAUCUUAGAAAUCUUGGAUCCAUGCUCAAUUAACAAUAGGUUUUCCUAUCAGACCGUUCAGCCAAUUACUGUCAGAUAAAGUAAAUAUGACUAUGCAGCUUGGGUUUUCGUCUCUAUGUCUGCCUGAGUUCACCUCCAUCACUUGGAACAUAUCACAAGCCCCUCCCAUGGGAUAUUUGAUUACAGAUCUUGCUGUAGUGGUGGCAAAUUCCCUGGAGGAUACUUUAUAGAGGCGUAUAUUACUAAAUAAAGCGACACCUCGUGUUAACCAUUACAAUAAAUGCAUUACCAACUGAAAAUGUAAUUUUAAAA